This 484-nucleotide ribosomal RNA is filed under the name uncultured bacterium. Its description in RNAcentral is "partial 16S ribosomal RNA". It matches the Rfam family "Bacterial small subunit ribosomal RNA", at positions 30 to 507 of the family's 1533-position model. The record is from RNAcentral.
AUUGAACGCUGGCGGCAGGCCUAACACAUGCAAGUCGAGCGGAUGAAGGGAGCUUGCUCCUGGAUUCAGCGGCGGACGGGUGAGUAAUGCCUAGGAAUCUGCCUGGUAGUGGGGGAUAACGUCAGGAAACGGGCGCUAAUACCGCAUACGUCCUGAGGGAGAAAGUGGGGGAUCUUCGGACCUCACGCUAUCAGAUGAGCCUAGGUCGGAUUAGCUAGUUGGUGGGGUAAAGGCCUACCAAGGCGACGAUCCGUAACUGGUCUGAGAGGAUGAUCAGUCACACUGGAACUGAGACACGGUCCAGACUCCUACGGGAGGCAGCAGUGGGGAAUAUUGGACAAUGGGCGAAAGCCUGAUCCAGCCAUGCCGCGUGUGUGAAGAAGGUCUUCGGAUUGUAAAGCACUUUUAGUUGGGAGGAAGGGCAGUAAGUUAAUACCUUGCUGUUUUGACGUUACCAACAGAAUAAGCACCGGCUAACUUCGUG